RNAcentral lists this ribosomal RNA (324 nucleotides) under uncultured Imbricatea. RNAcentral's name for it is "bacterial SSU rRNA". The stretch from base 111 to 324 matches the Rfam family "Eukaryotic small subunit ribosomal RNA", at positions 741 to 955 of the family's 1831-position model. The record is from RNAcentral. Lineage: Eukaryota; Cercozoa; Imbricatea.
GAUUUCUGGCACGAUGCGCCUGGCCCGCCACGGUUUCGUGUGUGAGUGCCGGGUCGGAUCUGCCAUCCUUCCAGAGAACGUUCCUACCCUUCACUGGGCCUGGGGACGCAAUCUGGAUCGUUUACUUUGAAAAAAUUAGAGUGUUUCAAGCAGGCGACUCGCUGUGAAUACAUUAGCAUGGAAUAAUAACUUAGGACUUCGGUUCUAUUUUGUUGGUUUCUAGGACUGAAGUAAUGAUUGAUAGGGAUAGUUGGGGGUGCUAGUAUUCAGUGGCCAGAGGUGAAAUUCUCGGAUUCACUGAAGACUAACUUAUGCGAAAGCAUU